CUACGGAGGGUGCAUGCGUUACUCGGAAUCACUGGGCGUAAAGCGCGCGCAGGCGGCUAUUUAAGUUGGAUGUGAAAGCCUACGGCUCAACCGUAGAACUGCAUCCAAAACUAUUUAGCUAGAGUGUGGGAGAGGAAGAUGGAAUUAGUUGUGUAGGGGUAAAAUCCGUAGAGAUAACUAGGAAUACCAAAAGCGAAGGCAAUCUUCUGGAACACUACUGACGCUGAGGCGCGAAAGCGUGGGGAGCAAACAGGAUUAGAAACCCUAGUAGUCC
Molecule: ribosomal RNA, 274 nt
Filed under: uncultured bacterium
Lineage: Bacteria
Description: partial 16S ribosomal RNA
Rfam family: Bacterial small subunit ribosomal RNA
Source: RNAcentral